AUGGGCUUUAGGGUUUACAUUUUGAUCAUUAUUAUUCUUUGGUUUUUAUCACGUUAUCAGCACUUUGAUUCUCCACUGGGAUUUACUGCAAGUUAGAUUCAACAGAUUCAACACUUUUCUUCAUUAUAUCCUGAAAAUAUGUCGAACUUAUCAAAACUUGAAUUCACCGCACUUGACAUCUCGGGUAACAACUACCUCCCAUGGACUCUUGAUGCUAAAAUUCAUUUGACGGCAAAUAAUUUGGGGGAAACAAUUAUUGAUG
Molecule: long non-coding RNA, 262 nt
Filed under: Helianthus annuus (common sunflower)
Lineage: Eukaryota; Viridiplantae; Streptophyta; Magnoliopsida; Asterales; Asteraceae
Description: hypothetical non coding rna
Source: RNAcentral